This 1680-nucleotide long non-coding RNA is filed under the name Homo sapiens (human). RNAcentral's name for it is "HSALNT0311290". Lineage: Eukaryota; Metazoa; Chordata; Mammalia; Primates; Hominidae. The record is from RNAcentral.
UCUCUUUCCACGGUCUCCCUCUCAGCCGCCGAAGCUGGACUGUGCUGCUGCCAUCUCGGCUCACUGCAACCUCCCUGCCUGAUUCUCCUGCCUCAGCCUGCCGAGUGCCUGCGAUUGCAGGCGCGCGCCGCCACGCCUGACGGGUUUUCGUAUUUUUUUGGUGGAGACGGGGUUUCGCUGUGUUGGCCGGGCUGGUCUCCAGCUCCUAACCGCGAGUGAUCCGCCAGCCUCGGCCUCCCGAGGUGCCGGGAUUGCAGACGGAGUCUCCUUAACUCAGUGCUCAAUGGUGCCCAGGCUGGAGUGCAGUGGCGUGAUCUCGGCUACAACCUCCACCUCCCAGCCGCCUGCCUUGGCCCCCCAAAGUGCCGAGAUUGCAGCCUCUGCCCGGCCGCUACCCCGUCUGGGAAGUGAGGAGCGUCUCUGCCUGGCCGCGCAUCGUCUGGGAUGUGAGGAGCCCCUCUGCCUGGCUGCCCAGUCUGGAAAGUGAGGAGCGUCUCUGCCCGGCCGCCAUCCCACCUAGGAAGUGAGGAGCGCCUCUUCCCGGCCACCAUCCCAUCUAGGAAGUGAGGAGCGUCUCUGCCCGGCCGCCCAUCGUCUGAGAUGUGGGGAGCGCCUCUUACCGCCGCCCCUUCUGGGAUGUGAGGAGCGCCUCGGCCCGGCCGCGACCCCGUCUGGGAGGUGAGGAGCGUCUCUGCCCGGCCGCCCCGUCUGAGAAGUGAGGAGACCCUCCACCUGGCAACUGCCCCAUCUGAGAAGUGUGAGCUCUACAUUAUGCUGAGAUGGCUAUGUACAAGUAUAUCCAGAAUGACGGUGGAUACGUUGAAAGUCCAAUCAACUGUGCUAAAUCUUGAAUCAGUUCUCUCUGUUGCCUUUUGCAGGUUGUUUAAGUUUUGUAUAGAAGUGGAUAUUUUGAACAUUGAAACUGCACAAGGGCUUUAUGGUUGCUCUGCUCACCUCUAUUUCUUCUUCUCCUGCUAGGAAACCCCAUUAUCCUCAGAACAAGUCUCUCCACCUCCUGCUCUUGCCUGAUGCUGUAUGGCUCUGAUGGCUUGUCCUGUGUCCCCUUAGCCCAGGUGCUAAGUGGUCUCUGUUCCCUUAAAAUAACUGUUUUGGGAUGUUAUGGGUCCUGUUUUAAAAAUCCCCUCAUCCCUCUUCUUUUCUCUCUUCUAAAGGGCAGCCUUACCAUCUCCUUUUAAGAACAGAAGUCUUUUCUUUCUGCCUCUUAAAGUCAGUAGCUGGUUUGUCACCCAAUAACAAAAGCCCACAAUAUCCUGACCUCAAAGACUAGGAAGGUAGGUGGUGCUAAGGUCAGGGAUUGGGAGUCUUAGAGAGCCAGCAACACAGUGUCAUCUCUCUGAAAAGUAAAUUUCCAGUAGCUAGCAAGAGAUUUACAAAUGCUGAAAUCUCUUAGUCUACUAAUUCCUUUCAUACAAUCAAAGAUAUGUGCAAAGAUUUAUGUUCAUCAUACUGUCACUCCUCAUAGAGAAAAGCAUGGGAGUAACACCCAUGUCUGUCAGUAGGGCUUGGAUGGAUAAAGUCUAUUAUUGAGUCCUUUGCAAUCAUUCAAAAUCAUGUUUGAAUAUAAUAGAUGGGAAAAUGAUCAUACUAUAAUGCUAAUUGAAAAAAGAUAUAAAACUGUAUAUAUGUUCUCAUCUCAAAUUUUUAAAAAAUAAAAAUGUG